GAUGAUGUGGUUUAAUUCGAUGCAACGCGAAAAACCUUACCCACCUUUGACAUGUACGGAAGUGACCAGAGAUGGACAUGUGCUCGAAAGAGAACCGUAACACAGGUGCUGCAUGGCUGUCGUCAGCUCGUGUCGUGAGAUGUUGGGUUAAGUCCCGCAACGAGCGCAACCCUUGCCAUUAGUUGCUACAUUUAGUUGGGCACUCUAAUGGGACUGCCGGUGACAAACCGGAGGAAGGUGGGGAUGACGUCAAGUCCUCAUGGCCCUUAUAGGUGGGGCUACACACGUCAUACAAUGGCUGGUACAAAGGGUUGCCAACCCGCGAGGGGGAGCUAAUCCCAUAAAGCCAGUCGUAGUCCGGAUCGCAGUCUGCAACUCGACUGCGUGAAGUCGGAAUCGCUAGUAAUCGUGGAUCAGAAUGUCACGGU
RNAcentral lists this ribosomal RNA (428 nucleotides) under Comamonas baltica. It matches the Rfam family "Bacterial small subunit ribosomal RNA", at positions 935 to 1363 of the family's 1533-position model. The record is from RNAcentral. Lineage: Bacteria; Pseudomonadati; Pseudomonadota; Betaproteobacteria; Burkholderiales; Comamonadaceae.